Small nucleolar RNA from Meriones unguiculatus (Mongolian gerbil), 137 nucleotides. The record is from Ensembl. NCBI's taxonomy places the organism in Eukaryota, Metazoa, Chordata, Mammalia, Rodentia, Muridae.
UCAAACCACAGAGGAAUUGCAGGUGUGGCUACUGUGUCACCUGUGCGUCAGUAGGUGGCAGAAAAAAAAAAAAAAAGGCUAUGUCCACACUCAGUGUUCUGACGUGUGAACAUCUAAGUAAUUAGUAGCCUCACACU